GGUUACUUAAGUCUGAUGUGAAAGCCUUCGGCUUAACCGAAGAAGUGCAUCGGAAACUGGGUGACUUGAGUGCAGAAGAGGACAGUGGAACUCCAUGAGUAGCGGUGGAAUGCGUAGAUAUAUGGAAGAACACCAGUGGCGAAGGCGGCUGUCUGGUCUGCAACUGACGCUGAGGCUCGAAAGCAUGGGUAGCGAACAGGAUUAGAUACCCUGGUAGUCCAUGCCGUAAACGAUGAGUGCUAGGUGUUGGAGGGUUUCCGCCCUUCGGUGCCGGAGCUAACGCAUUAAGCACUCCGCCUGGGGAGUACGACCGCAAGGUUGAAACUCAAAGGAAUUGACGGGGGCCCGCACAAGCGGUGGAGCAUGUGGUUUAAUUCGAAGCUACGCGAAGAACCUUACCAGGUCUUGACAUCUUGCGCUAACCUAAGAGAUUAGGCGUUCCCUUCGGGGACGCAAUGACAGGUGGUGCAUGGUCGUCGUCAGCUCGUGUCGUGAGAUGUUGGGUUAAGUCCCGCAACGAGCGCAACCCUUGUUACUAGUUGCCAGCAUUCAGUUGGGCACUCUAGUGAGACUGCCGGUGACAAACCGGAGGAAGGUGGGGACGACGUCAGAUCAUCAUGCCCCUUAUGACCUGGGCUACACACGUGCUACAAUGGUCGGUACAACGAGUCGCAAACCCGCGAGGGCAAGCUAAUCUCUUAAAGCCGAUCUCAGUUCGGACUGUAGUCUGCAACUCGCCUACACGAAGUCGGAAUCGCUAGUAAUCGCGGAUCAGCAUGCCGCGGUGAUACGUUCCCGGGU
This 801-nucleotide ribosomal RNA is filed under the name uncultured Bacillota bacterium. Its description in RNAcentral is "bacterial SSU rRNA". It matches the Rfam family "Bacterial small subunit ribosomal RNA", at positions 577 to 1379 of the family's 1533-position model. Lineage: Bacteria; Bacillati; Bacillota. The record is from RNAcentral.